ACGCACGCUGGCGGCGUGCUUCACCCAUGCCAGUCGAACGGUGAAGCGCCUUCCUUUUUGGUGGGUGUGGAUGAGUGGCGAACGGGUGAGUAACACGUGAGUAACCUGCCCCCUUCUUCUGGAUAACCGCAUGAAAGUGUGGCUAAUACGGGAUAUUCUGGGUCUGUCGCAUGAUGGGUCUGGGAAAGAUAUUGUUUCGGUGGGGGAUGGGCUCGCGGCCUAUCAGCUUGUUGGUGGGGUGAUGGCCUACCAAGGCGGUGACGGGUAGCCGGCCUGAGAGGGUGGACGGUCACACUGGGACUGAGACACGGCCCAGACUCCUACGGGAGGCAGCAGUGGGGAAUAUUGCACAAUGGGCGCAAGCCUGAUGCAGCGACGCCGCGUGAGGGAUGGAGGCCUUCGGGUUGUGAACCUCUUUCGCCAGUGAAGCAGGCCUGCCUCGUUUGUGGGUGGGUUGACGGUAGCUGGAUAAGAAGCGCCGGCUAACUACGUG
This 493-nucleotide ribosomal RNA is filed under the name uncultured bacterium. RNAcentral describes it as "partial 16S ribosomal RNA". It matches the Rfam family "Bacterial small subunit ribosomal RNA", at positions 29 to 507 of the family's 1533-position model. The record is from RNAcentral.